Molecule: ribosomal RNA, 109 nt
Organism: Mustela putorius furo (domestic ferret)
Lineage: Eukaryota; Metazoa; Chordata; Mammalia; Carnivora; Mustelidae
Source: Ensembl
GUCUACGGCCAUACCACCCUGAACGCGCCCGAUCUCGUCUGAUCUCGGAAGCUAAGCAGGGUCGGGCCUGGUUAGUACUUGGAUGGGAGAAAGUAGGCAUGUUUAAAUU